UACGGAAGGUCCGGGCGUUAUCCGGAUUCAUUGGGUUUAAAGGGAGCGUAGGCCGUGGAUUAAGCGUGUUGUGAAAUGUAGGCGCUCAACGUCUGACUUGCAGCGCGAACUGGUCCACUUGAGUGUGCGCGACGCAGGCGGAAUUCGUGGUGUAGCGGUGAAAUGCUUAGAUAUCACGAGGAACCCCGAUUGCGAAGGCAGCUUGCGGGAGCACCACUGACGCUGAGGCUCGAAGGUGCGGGUAUCGAACAGG
This 253-nucleotide ribosomal RNA is filed under the name uncultured bacterium. RNAcentral's name for it is "partial 16S ribosomal RNA". It matches the Rfam family "Bacterial small subunit ribosomal RNA", at positions 524 to 776 of the family's 1533-position model. RNAcentral also lists the same sequence under 1 other name. The record is from RNAcentral.